RNAcentral lists this long non-coding RNA (1998 nucleotides) under Olea europaea subsp. europaea. The record is from RNAcentral. Lineage: Eukaryota; Viridiplantae; Streptophyta; Magnoliopsida; Lamiales; Oleaceae.
UUAACAUGUUCAUCAAUUGCUGAUAUUGAUUGGAAUUUAAAGUCUGCAUAAAGUUUCCAACAUUGCCACAUGCUUGCUCUCAGAAAAAGAUUCAGAGACUUGGUUUGAAAUGGCAUGGUUUACUUGAUUGCUAGAGGUUGAUUUCUACUUUAUUUUGAAUCCAGGUGGGUAACCGUGCAAUUUUAUAACAUUUAUCCACUUCAUGCCCUGUGUAUCCGCCAUAAGUACAAACAGGUCUCUCCCUCCUCUGAAUUUUGUUGUACCGUUUGGCAUCAUUCUUAACUUGGAAUGCCAUUGAAUCAGUGUUACCAGCAGCAUUAAUGUUCGCAUUGAAGCUCCUUUGUUGUUCUUCUUGAGAUAUGAGUGUGAAUCCUUUGUUUACGGAGGGAAGAGGGUCCAUCAUCAACAACUGACCUGGCACCUGAGCAAAUGAAUCAUUUAGCCCCAUUAAGAAAGACAUAACAUACUCCAUAUGGUAGGGAUCUGUCAGCUUCUUCGUUCCCCCACAAUUGCACUUUCCACACGUACAUAUUGGUCUGUAAUUGCUGAGCUCCUCCCAAAUGGUUUUCAACUUUGUAAAAUACACACUUACAGAAGAUUGACUUUGGGUAAUGUUCAUCAGUUAUCUCCUCAACUGAUAUAUAUGAGGAGCAUUCUUUUGUUGAUAUCUCUCCUUGAGAUCAUCCCAAAUUUCUUGAGCAGAUUCAGCAUAGAUAACGCCAGCUGAAAUAUCUUUGGAAACUGAGUUAAGAAUCUAUGAAAUCACAAUGUUAUUGUUUCAGAUCCAGGCAUUCAACAAAUCUUCAUUCUCCUUAGGUUUCAGUAUGGAUCCAAUGAUAAAUCCUAUCUUAUUCUUCAUAGAUAAAGCUAUGUAUAUAGCACGACUCCAGGAAGCAUAGUUCUCUCCUAUCAAAGGUUGGGAAACAAGAACCAAACCUGGAUUAUCAGAAUGAUGCAGAAAGUAGGGGCUCGAUCCAUCCUCUAUGGUGGAAUUGCUCAUCGAGUAGGAAGAUGAAUUGAAGGAUUGGUUUUGAUUUACAGCUUCUACCAUUUUGUUUCAAAGACGUGCAAAUUAUUACAAUGAAAAAGGAAGCAAAUUAUUGCUUUGAUACCAUAUUGAAAUGAAGAGGAAUUUAUUCUCAUUCAAGUGAAAUGGAUUACAAAUCUCGAAUAUAAAUAGAUCUCUAGCAAGCAAACUGAAUAUACAUUCAAGUAACUAACUAUUACAUCCAAUGUGAAGAUUACACGUGGCUAACUAACUAUCACAGCUAACUACCAUGCUAACUAAAUUGUGUUACAGCUGGAUUGGAACGUUAUACAGUUAUCAAUCUAAUCAAAGAAAACUGUUUAUGAAUUAAAGAGAAUUACUCGUGGAUUUUUGAAUGAAGUCAUGAAUUUUCAGUUCAAAUCAAAUAUAGUAAAUAACUAAUUUACCUUAAUUACGGUGCUCCCAGUGCUUGCACCUUUGGAUUGCCAACGUUGUAUAAUAAAACGGCACAAAUACAGAGAAUAAGUAACCAAAAAAAAAAAAAAAGAUAAAAUCAUGCAAAUCAAUUGUUGAACUAACUCAUCAAAUUUGUUGGACCUAAAUUUUUCACAAAUCUCACGAACUGCUCCAACAAGCUCAGAUGAUUCCGGAAGAAAUUGAAGGUGACCCAUGGUAGAACUAAAUGUGCCUGGCUGAGAAGAAUGUUGUGGUGGUGCUCCACGAUUGAGAGAAAGGCCAGAUAUGGAAGUAACUGGGAAAAAAUCGUCAUUGCGCUUGUGAUUUUGGAUGGGAAUUGGUGAUAUUUCUAGCGGUCUGGUGGGCAGCCAAUGGUCGAAGGUUGUAGAGGGAGGUGAGAGGGUGCCGGUGGUGUGUGGUUCAGGCGGCUUAGGUGGCGGGUGGUGGUUGUUAUUGAUGGAAGGAGGCGGCGAAUCAGUAGCUUGAGAAAGCGUAAUAUUUUUGGGGCAAAUGGAAGGAGGCGGGAGAGGCGUGAGUGAGAGUUCGGGUUCGAG